RNAcentral lists this non-coding RNA (24 nucleotides) under Arabidopsis thaliana (thale cress). The record is from RNAcentral. Lineage: Eukaryota; Viridiplantae; Streptophyta; Magnoliopsida; Brassicales; Brassicaceae.
UGCCACUUGUAUGGACCACAUAGA